Non-coding RNA from Vicia faba (fava bean), 219 nucleotides. Lineage: Eukaryota; Viridiplantae; Streptophyta; Magnoliopsida; Fabales; Fabaceae. The record is from the annotation of a GenBank genome assembly.
AUGGUAUCAGAGCUUCAAGGUUCUCAAAAGAUGGCGAAUGGAGGUUUCCCUUUUCAAAUGUCGAUGCUCACAAAGAACAACUAUGAUAAUUGGAGUAUCAAGAUGAAGACGCUACUAAGAGUUCAAGAUGUGUGGGAUAUCGUUAAGGAAGACUUCAAGGAGCAAGUUGAAGUUGUUGAACAAGAAGUCUUAUCUUAUGUUUGGGCCAUGUUGAGUUGA